AAUUCUCUUUCUUCUCCGCCUUGCCAAAGGAAACUCUAACGGCUACCGUUUUUGCGUUCUCUGGUGAAACGCCUUUUCCCACGACAAUGAAUCAUCAACCUUGCUUCAUUAUUUUCUUCAUUAAUUUCCCAAUACCAAACAAAUGUUCUCUUCACCUUCCCCGAGCUUCCCACUAUAAAAUCAACUCUGCAUAUAAGAAAAAGCAUAAGAUAUCGCAUCCAUGAUUUUCACCGAUGUUGCUACGGGUUGGGAGAGACCCUAAUUAUCUUCAAGCUCAUACAUUUUUUGGAAGUUUAACUGCAACACGCAAUGGGAAGUCUCUGAUUGGUGUAGAGACGGUGCUCAUCUACAAACAUGUGGGAUUCUAUUUACUAUUCAUAUAUUCUCUCUUUUCAAGAAUCAGAACCCCAUACUAAUUGCAUUAACACAUGGCUCAUCGCCUGAUUGUGUUGUUUAGAAGCCACAUAUGAAAAUCUGUAUCAGGCUUCCUCUACCAAAGUGAUUGUUAGUGAGAAAUUCAAAGUUUUAUGUGGGAUCAUAUUAUUUCAUCUGUUAACAUCAAAACCAAUAAAUCUAAGCAAUGAAAAACGAUGCGCAUUUGUGUACUCCCGUUUUCUUAUAUCUACUUAUCAGCACCAGUAUGGUGUAUAUAUAUGUAAGAUCUUAAACUUCCUCUUGAGAUUGUGAAUGGAACUAUUAAUGGCAAACCAACUCCAGAGAUACGAAGAUGGACCAGGAGAGGAAGAAACUGCAUAAGGUAACUUGAGGAACACUGUUUUUUUUUCUCUUUAAUAUUUUGGAAAGAAAAAAACAAUUUAACAUGUUUCCAUGCGUUACACAUCAAAGAGAAAAGAGUUCCAAGUUUCUGGCUGAUGACCUUGAACAACAAUGAUAUCACUUCCGAGGAGGUAAACUAUAUGCAGUUUUGGUAUCCAUUUUGUCUGCAACUCCAAUCAUAACCAUGGAACAUAGCUCUAGCUUCAUGUCUUUGAUGUCAGGACACAGAGUGUCGAUCAUGUUUCAUAUGAGACAUAUCUUUCGACAAUGAUUUUUUUUAAAUCUUCCUACAUAACCUUCUUUUUUCGUUGUAGGAAAUCAAAAACUGGAUUCAGGGUAAAAAAAUAAAAAUAAAGUCUUCGAAAACUGGAAGAGAUAACAAACCAGAUUAAGCUGUAAAGGUACAUAUGUUAUUACUAUAUUUAACUUGAAUAGUUUCUCACAUGAGAAUCUUCAUGUUCGUCUUUAUUUCAAGAACUCGGAUGUUUUGCAUUACUUAGUCACUGAGAAACUCAUUUGUUCAACGGUUAAAUCUUUUUCUCUUAGUCUAUGCUCAAGUUUUCACAUGUUCAAACCUGAUUCUUAAUCUUGAUUUGAUUUAUUUCCGAGUUUGACUGAAUAGUUCAUAAUCUUGGUUUCAUUCCACGGAUUCAGAUCUUAUGUAGUUUUAAAUCUGACAGUCUCCUUGCUCUUACAGCUGUACUUACAGCUGAGUUCCUUCAUGCGAACCCUCAACCACUCCUCUACAAAUGGCUGCCUCCGAUGGAAUUUCCGCUGAACUUUUUGCACAGCACACAACCUUUGACAAUCUCGGCCUUGGUCGGGCCUCUCAGUUUUGUCGUUAUGUAUGUAUCACUAUGGGACGCCUCUUUCGCAACUUUUAGGACGUCUAUUUGAACCUAAUGAUCAACCUGGAUGGAUGUGAUCUAGAAAAAACUUCAUAUUCAUAUCAGGAUGAAAGUAACAACAGAGCUCCAAAAGUGGUAAGCCAAAGUGAGCAACCAUCUGUUUCUACAAGCGAUCCGGUAGAUGGGGCCACAAAAGUGACGACCGUGGAUCAACCAACACCACCCAGCUUUGGAGGAGAAGAGAAGAGUUACAAACGCUACCGUGAAUGAAAAUUGGAAGUGUAGUAAGCUUUAGUUCCCACUAAGAUUUAUCUUCGUGCAUUACAAACUGUACACUAAUUAACUAUUUCCAUUUUAUUUUUAAUUUCCAUGUUUGGCUUUUUGUUUAUAAACUUGCUGCAACCAAGCUCCAACUUGAUAGCAAUUUUAUCUUAUUUUUUAAUAAAGUACCUUGGACGGCUGUUUACACAUUAGAAAAUAAUCAACUGGUAUAAUUCAAGCAUGAAUACAUUCAGGUUGUACGUCAUUGAACACACUUCGACUUCAUACUACACGGAAAUCCAAAAUCUUAUAAGCAUUUCCGCACUCCGCGCUUGUGCGGAGGAGAGCCCCCUAGUAAUACUAAAAGUUGCUGAACAUUAAGUUGUAUCCGGUGGUUUAGAAGAAUAUGAACUUCACAAGUAAAAAUAUCAUAUUAAAUACAGUACAUAACUGUACAUGAACAUUCACUUUAGAAGAAAAAUAAAAUGUGACAUUUAUUGAUUUCAAAACUGCAUUUUCUCAUAUAUAUAAAUAUGUUAUAGUAUUCUUGCAGCCAGAAUUAUAAUAUUAUUAAAAUAAAAAUAAUAUUCUUUGUUAAAAUAUAUCCUCUUCGUAAAUAAGUGUAUGCUCUUUAUUCACCAAAAGAUAAACAUUUAAAAAGAAAAGGAUACACUAUUAUAAACGAUUACAAAUAAUAAUUCAUUGCAAACCAAUAUUAUAACAAAAACACACACAAAAUGCAAUUUAAUUUACCACCUGCUACAUAUUUUAUAACUAAUCGAAAAUAGUGAAUAAAAGUUAGUAUUCAGUGUGGCUUUUUUUUGUUUCCAUUAUAGUUAGUUAGUGCUACAUUAUAUAUAAAUACACACUUAAAUCAAACAUUAUUUACAUGAAACUGGCUAUAUGCUCCAAAUCAAAUUUCUUUUUGAAUCCGCUUCUCCAUGACAUAAAAGAUGAGCGGGUUUAAACACCAACUUCGGUGUAUUCAUAAAAUGUAGACAUAUUAUAAGAUCAAAAGCUAAGUUGUGCAUAUACCAAAUUUUUAAGAAAUAUUCCAAAUUUAUAGAAAGCAAAAAGUAGGAAAAAAAACUACUAAAGGUACUAUUAAACAUUAAAAUUAAAUUAAAUACAAAGUAAAAAUAUGCACAUAUUAAUAAUAAUUAUAAAUAAAUUUAACCUAUACUAAAAGGUGAAUAUGAAGUGUUUCUAACAUGUCCACGUAGGCUAAUAUAUUUGAUCAAUCAAGACAUUCCAAUAAUACACGCUGGCAAAAGACACGAAGCUCUUGCUUUCGUAUGGGCUCUGCUGUGUUUCGAUAGCUUCGUCGGUUAGUAUUGGGCUUUGCUACCCAAUUCAAUUAAAAAAAAAUUCAACCCAAGACAGAUAACACGAGGCUCUACGCUUCUCACUCUUCGUCUUCACCGUUUCUUCACCAUCGUUUCAGUUCUCUCGAUCCAGAACUCCACAAUCAAUUUGAUUGAGUUCAUGUUGUGAUCGUUUUAGUAAGUCAGAAAUCGAACAUGAGAGUGAGAUUCUUCUCGAUAAUUUUGAAUCUCAUAUUCUUAUAUCACUGAUUUACUCUGAUUCUGAUUGAGAUCUGCUGCUGUAGAUCACUAUUCUGUGGUGUCAAUUUUUGAAUUGUAGAUCUCAAAUUAUUGGAUUGCUGAUUUGCUCUUAUUUGAUUGGAUUAUAUUCAUCGUGUACCUUCACGUCUGUUCCCAUCUUGGGUAUGUUCCAAGGCAAGAGAUAACAGAUAUCCAAAAUCAUCGGGUGGUUUCAUCUGAGGAGCUCAGUGUGAGAAACUCAUCGCAGUGCCAGUAACAUUUAACAUCGCGUGCUUUGGCUACUAAAACUUAGCGAGGCGUUCGUUCGUUUAUGCGAUUAAUCAGCUUGGUAGAUGUGAACCUAUCUGAUGAAUCUAGAGAUAGCGAUGGAAAAAAGAAAUAAAAAUCAAAGAUUGUUGGUCAUGGGAUGGAUAUGUUCCCAUAUGUGUCUAUGUUCCGAUAUGUGUCUUAGGACGAAAGAUGGAUCGAUAUUCCAUAGGAGAUGCUGGAUAACUGGUCUCAGAAGAUAUUCAGUCAUAACGGUCCCUGGAUCGCUUCUUUGUGUUUCAUGGUGAGCAGAUUCCAAAUCUUCCAUGCGUGUAUCUAAGGGUGGAGGAGAUAUGAGAGUGUAAUUAUGGACCAAGGGAUGACUAGGCUUUUGCUGUCUUAUCUUAAUUCCAUCUCAAAGGAGGACCCAGUAGCAUGAAACAGUAGUAGAAUAAGUUGAUCAGUCAUUUCAAGGAGCGCUAAAGGUUGGACGUAUAAAUUGCAAAACAAAAUCUUCUCUUUGCAAACAACUUGGCAUAGCUGUGUUUCUCCAGUCCCUCACUUCGCUCAGGUGUUUUCUCCUAACGUCACCGGUGUCAUCAGGUUCUGUGUUGUUUAACUGGCUGUUAACUAAGGCAACUUGCCAUGUUUGUGGUCUCGACAAGGAGCUGACAAAACUCAGCAAGAAAGAUGCAGCCACUCUGGUUCUUGUGGAGUGGCGAUGCAGGAUAGGAGCUACCAAGCUGCCUUGAAGUACUAGGUGGGAAGUAACACAUUUUUCAUUGGAGAUAUCUUCUGGCACUGAGGUAGAGAGUAGCAGAAGCAGCCAAGCUCCACUCGUGGAUGCUCAACCUGGACAAGCAACAGUAUCUGCCAGUUACAUGGUUGAUGCGGCGAAGAGAGCAAUGGGUGUUGAUGAAGCCAAGCUGCCCGGUUUUGAAGAGGACAAAGGAAUAGCCGCAAACGCCCAUUUGAAAUAACUAUUUUCUUAUGUUUUUCUUGCUUUGAUCUUUGGUUGUGUCUUGAAUUAUCUGCUAACUAUCUCCCAACAGGAGAAGAGUUGCUUGGAUUUUAAAUAAAGGGAACAUUGACGGGUC
Long non-coding RNA from Brassica rapa (field mustard), 4794 nucleotides. RefSeq lists it as uncharacterized. Lineage: Eukaryota; Viridiplantae; Streptophyta; Magnoliopsida; Brassicales; Brassicaceae. The record is from RefSeq and is a predicted model, not a curated record.